RNAcentral lists this transfer RNA (75 nucleotides) under Penaeus vannamei (Pacific white shrimp). RNAcentral describes it as "Litopenaeus vannamei (Pacific white shrimp) tRNA". It matches the Rfam family "tRNA". From Rfam's summary of the family: Transfer RNA (tRNA) molecules are approximately 80 nucleotides in length. Their secondary structure includes four short double-helical elements and three loops (D, anti-codon, and T loops). Further hydrogen bonds mediate the characteristic L-shaped molecular structure. tRNAs have two regions of fundamental functional importance: the anti-codon, which is responsible for specific mRNA codon recognition, and the 3' end, to which the tRNAs corresponding amino acid is attached (by aminoacyl-tRNA synthetases). tRNAs cope with the degeneracy of the genetic code in two manners: having more than one tRNA (with a specific anti-codon) for a particular amino acid; and 'wobble' base-pairing, i.e. permitting non-standard base-pairing at the 3rd anti-codon position. The record is from Rfam by way of RNAcentral. Lineage: Eukaryota; Metazoa; Arthropoda; Malacostraca; Decapoda; Penaeidae.
UGCCUGUUGGCUCAGUUGGUUAGAGCGCCGUGUUAACAAGACGCGGUGUUAAGGGUUCGAUCCCCUUACGGGCAA